GUGGCAAACAGCGGGGCCGGCGCUCGGAUAGUGCCGGCCCUGCAUAGACCGGCAGGGGAGAUCCUGAGACCUCCCCUGCCGGCCUCGGCCCAUGGCCACCGCGGCCCACCGGGGAUUUGCCCGGUGUGCCCGAUGGCCAGUCCGGGCCUGUGGGACGGUGAGUAUUGAUGGUUUGUGGAUAUAUUAGCAAUGUAAUUGCAGGCAGGAAAGGCAAAAUAUUAGGCCAGAAAAGGGCCGUGCACUGUAAUCAUAAAAUAAAUACUAAAAUAGUGUGCCUCCAUUAUGAUAAAAAAAAACACUGCAGUCCACUGCUCAAAAGCAACAAAAAUGGAUAAUCUACUGUGAUGUAGCACCCUUCACUUAGGAAUUUUGUGUGCAAACCCUUUGAGGGUUCCUCGUCAAUAUGUAAUCCUCUCUUCUCAAGUCCCUUAUUGGGAUAUGUACAAGACAAAAACGUGAGAAUGGGGAAGACAAUGUGAGUUCCAUACAUAGAGUAGUAUUGUGUGAUAAAAAAUCUCAGAAUAAAAAUGUGUCUCUUACAUUAAAGCAGACCGUAACAGCAUGCCAUUAGUAAUACACCAGUAUUCUAUACAGCACCUCUUUCCUACAAAUCCUCCAGCCAGAAACCAUGUUCCAAAACAGGCACCAUAUUUCAUUAUUCGCUUUAUGUUCUGUUAGUGAAAACAGACUUUAGGUCAAAAAUUUAAAAUAGAAUAGUCUUCCCAAAUGCGUUUUGCCUGUAGAUUGAGGCUUCAUCAAUGGUAAAAACCAGAAGUGAAUUGAGGACAAGCAGAAUAAUGUAUAUGGGAAGAUCGUGUAACCUUGUUGUUAAAGGGACACUAUAGUCACCCAGACCACUUCAGGUCAAUGAAGUGGUCUGGGUGCCAGGUCCCCCCGGUUUUAACCCUUCAGAUGUAAAUAUAGCAGUUUCCGCGAAACAGCUAUGUUUAUUGCAGUGUUAAUCCAGCCUCUAGUGGCUGUCUUCCUGACAGCCGCUCGAGGUGCUUCUGCGCCGCUGGAUGCGAAAAUCGUAUUCAGUGUGCAGAAUGUCCAUAGGAAAGCAUUGAGAAAUCACUUGGGAGCUGACGUCGGCGGGGUAGGAGAGGUCACCAGUGCUGAGGGAGCCCAGCGCAGGAUAAAGGUAAGUAGCUGAAGAGGUUUUAACCCCUUCAGCCCCGCGGGAGGGGGAACCUGAGGAUGGGGAGGACCUAAGGGUUAUAUAGUGUCAGGAAAACGAGUUUGUUUUCCUGACAUUAUAGUGUUCCUUUAAGACACAUUGUCAAGCAAAAUUAUCACUAUCAAUAUCAGAUCGCUCUUAGAACAUAGCUCGUUUCCAAUGUUGUUGUUUCCAAACUAGAAAAUCUUACUAAUUGUUACUGCCAAUUUCCAACUGAAAAAAGUUUUAACGUUUCCUAUAGAGAAUAGUAAGAGAUGCUAAGCUGUACUUAACAACUCGUUUCCCUGUUAGAUAGUAAAUUUGAAUGGCUGCAAUCGCCAAAACUACAACCUUCCUUAGCUCAGAGUAAAGAAAAAAAGCCAACCUAACAACGGCAAACUCUCAUUUACCUAAAGGAACGUGCUUUGCAUAUAUCAUUAUAUUUAAAAAAUAAUAGGAAGCAGGACGUGCCUUUAAUACUGUUCAUUUAUGGUUGCUAUGGCAACAACUAAGAAAGUGCGCAUUUUGUUUUUUUUUGUUGGAAUCGCUAAUAGAUAACUGAUCAGCUGCAGAAGGUAUGGAUGGAAUUUGAUUUUAUUACAGCCUGGAUGUUUGAAACCUGUUUACAUUUUUUUUUGGGGUAGCAAAUAUUACUCACUUUCAACAUGAAUAACAGUUUAUAGAUAACAAUUAGCAAUUGCAUUGGGAAUUAAACCUUAACAGUCAAAUGUCUGUUUUACGUGCAAUUCUGUUUUGGUGUCCAGAAAUUGUGUAAAUAAAUCAAAAUGUGUCAGCAAAUGAUUCAUAUGUUUUCAAGCAAAUACCAUAAAUAUGAACUUAUAUGAGCAUUAUUCCCUACACUAUUGCCCCAGAAAACUGAUCCUUUAAAUUGCCUUUCUGUGUGUUAAUACGAUUUAUGUUUUAAGCCCUUAAAUGCCAUUGACAAGCCAACUAUGAUACAAAUGGAUUUGCCCAACCUUAGAGGAUUAUGGAAUGGUUUAUAAAACCACUUUCUCUAUAACAGUGGGUUGGUGCUGAGGUUUACCACUUUUUAUUUUAAGUCUACAAUAUCUAUUUAAUAUCAGUUAUCCAUGACCAUCUACUGGAGAGCCACAGACCAGUCGUGAAUUGUAGAAAUUUUGUAUUGUCUGCUUGAUCAAAUUAUAUUUGAUGUUUAUAUUGGUACUGAAGAAUAGUCACAUGAGUUGUCUAAUGCUAGAAUUAGCUAUGAAUGUAUUGAA
This 2397-nucleotide long non-coding RNA is filed under the name Pelobates cultripes (western spadefoot toad). The record is from RNAcentral. Lineage: Eukaryota; Metazoa; Chordata; Amphibia; Anura; Pelobatidae.